Long non-coding RNA from Oncorhynchus kisutch (coho salmon), 872 nucleotides. RefSeq lists it as uncharacterized. The transcript has 2 exons. NCBI's taxonomy places the organism in Eukaryota, Metazoa, Chordata, Actinopteri, Salmoniformes, Salmonidae. The record is from RefSeq and is a predicted model, not a curated record.
UUUAGAAACACUUCAAAUAAGGGCUGUGUUUACCCUGGCGUGACGUUUUGAUAACCAUGUAAAUCUCUCUAGGACAAGGCGACUUAUCAAUAUUAGACUGUGCUAAUUAGCUGCUAACGUGCCUAUCAUAAAGAACUAAAAAUGCCACGAUGAUCUGGACAAGACUGCCGAAUCGAGGCAAAGGUUGGUCUCCCUCUUCCGUGCCCGUGGUAGUCAAAAGGAUGACCAUCCCGGAAAAGAUCCUUCUUUUCCCCCUUCUCCAGGUCGAUGUGGUGGAUGGACGGUGGCUUGGUGAUCAGGUCAUCUGGUUUCCCCUGGUACACGCCGUUGCCCUCCACCUCCCUGUACUUCCUCGACGCUGGAUCCUUCUGGAAGACGUCCCGGAGCAUCCUCUUCAGCUCAGGGUCCGGGCAGAACAGGUAUUCAUAGAGGGCAGCCGCCAUGAUGCCACCCAGGAUUGGACCAACCCAGUACACCUGCAAUACAGAUAAAAGGCAAACCCAGUUCAGACAAAUAUGAACCCAUUACCACAGCGGAGGCUACCCCAUUCUGACAGAGCUGCCAUGCAGCUAAAGGUGCAACAGUCGUUGUUUAUGGGCAUCCUCAGUGGAGCCAGGUACCUUUUUUGGGUUCUGCCAGGUCAACCAUGUUGUUCUCAAAAGACAGCAAACACCCGUCAGAUAAUGACGCCACUCUCAGUGAGAAGACCUAUCCUAAUUAUAUCCAAGACCCAGACCCUCCUCCCCUACACACACACACACACACACACCAAGCAGUUCCACUGUGCCUUGCUGAGUCAGUAUGAACAGCUCCGUGAGAAUUAUUGCCCUGGAUACAGAAUUAAAGAAGCACAUGCUUUGUAUAGUCCGUAA